Cebus imitator (Panamanian white-faced capuchin) is the source of this 6901-nucleotide long non-coding RNA. RefSeq lists it as uncharacterized. Lineage: Eukaryota; Metazoa; Chordata; Mammalia; Primates; Cebidae. The transcript has 2 exons. The record is from RefSeq and is a predicted model, not a curated record.
GAUCGAUCCUACCGCCUUGACCUCCCAAAGUGCUAGGAUUACAGGCAUGAGCCACUGCACCCAGCCAACUCCUUUAAUUCUAGUAAUAGCUCUGUGAGUCAAUUACUAUUAGCCCAGGUUUAAGUUGAGGAAACUGAGAUCGAGGAGGUCAAAUCCCUUGCCCAAGGUCAUACAUACAUCUAGCAAGUGUCAGGGCUAAGAUCUCCACUCAAGCAGGCAAGCUAUCAUUAGCGGGUAGACCGUCACGAGGCUCCCAGCCGUAAAGCCUUUCAUCAGGGAGCCAAGCAUGUGCCUCUAGGGGCUGUUGGGUAGGUGGGUGCCCAUCCAGGUGGCCCUGCCACCUUCCCAUGUAGCUUCUCCAGGCUCCUGACCAGCAGCUGGUGAAUGAAGACUUCCCAGGGCGUGUGGGUGGGGAACUCGCCUGGCAGAGGCCCCUCUGGUCGGAAACCGCCUAAGCAGUCUGAGGGAGACGUGUGAACUUUGGCCGGCAUCCAGCACACUUGCACUGUGGACGCCAACUUAGGGAACAUGUGGAGGCCGCCCCGGAGGUCCCAGCACCACCAUCCCUCCCUGGCUUUGAAGCGGGCGCUCAAGCAGUGUGGCUUAUUCUGGUGAUCAUGAGAGUGGUGUGAAAGAGACCUACAGAGUGAGGUUAUUUGAGUAUCUUCAGAAUGCUCAGGAAUAGAGUGGCGGCUGCUCUUGGACCAAUAUCAAACUUAGUUUUGGUGUCAGAGUAAUUUUGAAGGGGAAAUUUCAUUAGAAUGCAGUUCGGUAUUGUUAGAUAUGAAUGAUGAGUUUAGGCUGAGCAAUACACUUUUUGAUAUUAAUUUUUAAUACAGCUUCUUGGGAAGUCAGAGCUUCUAUUUAAUGAAGAAUUGACGAUUCGUCAAUUCAGCUCCCACCUCGGAGCUGGCCUUGGCGUUUGGGCUCUCACGUCAGAUUUUUGACAAGAUAUUUGCUGCUUGUAAAUGUGUUAUCUUUGUAAUUUUGGUGACUUUCUGAGUGUCUUACUUUUCUGGGUGGUCAUGGUGGUUAUGUGCGCUUUUCUGUUGUUGCCAUCCCAAGAAGCAGGGUUAUAAAUGGAAAAUUAUUCCCUCCUUAGUCUGGCUCGCAAGUGCACGACGGCUCUUUGUGCGGUUGGUUUCAGCGUCAGGGUUUGGAGAAAGGCCUUUUUCAGGAUUAUGAAAAUAGUUUUCUGUGUGUCAGAACAGAUUUAUCAGUUCACUUUAGGGUCGGUUUUGUGAACUAGACCAUUUAGAGGAGGAUAUUUUACCUUUUAUCAGAGUGGAAGCUGACAGUCAAUUUGCAGGUAGCCCUGUGGAAUGUUUCACCUGGGUCUCUCAGUGUAAAUCUAGCUGCCAAAUAAAGUAAAAAUGGGUGUUAAACCAGCGAUAUUUCCCAGGGUUUUACUACCACCCACCCCCCAACCCCAACGAUGUUGUUCUAUUUCAAUGCAGGGUUUCAAUUAUUAAUUGGGAUAUUUAAUAAAAUUCUCUGCUUGCAGUUACUUUUAAAAGGCCUUUUGAGUUUAUUUGGGUCCAGUUUUUGCCAGUGGGUAGGGUAGAAUUCAAUCUGAAUAUCCUUCAUGGGCAGCAGAUGUUUUGUUUCCAGUUGAAGAAUAAUAUUAAUAAUAAUUAUUAAAAUAAGUGCAAUUAUUAUCAUCAUCAUUAUUUCAGCUGUAAUUUUCUGGGCAUCUUGUGCCAGGCAUUGUGUAAACAUAUAUAUAUAUAUGCACACACGCACACACGCACACACACACACAGAUAUGUUCUUUAUAACCACGUUGUGAGGUGAAUAAUUGUGUCCUCAUUUUAAGAGUGAGAAGACUGAAGCUUAGACAGAUCAUAACUUAUCUAAGGGCAGAGAGUUAGGAGUUAGAGGGCCUGUGAUUGGAGGAGAGAUCUCACCAUAACACCCUGCCUGCCUCCAAGGAGCCUCAGGACCUCCUGAUUGAACACUGACCCUCUGCUAUGAGCUCGACCUUGCAUGGGACCAAAAAUCACCAUCCAGCCCGUAGCCCACAUUCCACCUCCUCCUCAGUCAUGGCUGUAUUUUGCUAAACAAAUUGUUUUCCACAGCCUUUGAGAUGGAUUGGGCAGGGAGGAGACAAGUGUUGCCUUUGGCUCUUUGUUAGAGGAUGUACGGUAUUCAGUCCAGACUGCAGCUUGCCCUGUGCUUUCAUGCACACAGCCCUUUAUGAAUCUGACUUUGGCAGUCCCCCGACUGUUGAAUUUUCGAAAAGCAGAUAUUUUAGUAGGCUGGAAGAAGAUGAAAAGCUAGCGGUGCCCAUAUGUUCCUUGUUUUUAAAAGUAAGGUCAGCGAGGUUUAGAGACUCUUUAAAUAUUUCAGUUUAUAAGAUUAGACUAGAUCAUCUGGAAUGGAAGUGUGGUGCCCCUGGUCCCAGACUUGGCUUUUUUCUUCAUUUCUUUUAUAUGGGAGGUAGGUGUUUUGGCAUUGCAAGGUUCAAGUGUAAUAAAACUUAAAUGUAGAGAAUAAAUACCAUGAUUUGGAGUGUUGCUGCGGCUAUGAAAGUCAGUUUCCUUUCUUCAUCUUUUUUUUUUUUUAUUAAGUAAUCAGUGACUUGAAAAACAGCAGAUUGGUACAAGGAAACUGAAAACUCCCAUGCUUUAAAGCAGUAUGACAUUUUUGACAUUUUUCUGCGGAAGCAUUUUCUUCACUCAUUUAAAUCUUCCUAGGCUGAGAUCAGGCAUUCAUCCUGAAAUGUACACUUGAGUAGUUUGAAAUUCAACACAAGUGUGUAUUUUUAGUUAAGACAUUUUCUCUUGGAUUAUCAGUGGUUAGUGACGUAGUGGAGGCUUUACUUGCCCCCAAGAUAUUUACAGAAGCCAAGGAUCUGAGCAAAUAUCUAACCCAACCCCAGGUUGGGACCAGGUCUCACUUCUUGAUACAACGCACCAACAUUUUAUGCCUCUCACCCAAAGAGCAUUCUUAUGGCCAGGAUGUACCCAUGGUCACCAACAGUAACUGCUGGGAGACACGUCAGGGAGAGGUGGUUGUGGUCACUGCCUUGUACAACAGCUACAUGCCCAAAGCAGGGGGGACCCUGCCCUCCUCCCAGUGCACAAUGAGUGGGAACUCUGUGUGCUGGCCGGCAUUUCCCGUCAUGUUCAGUGGGACACGUUCACUCUUCAUACUUCUUCAAUUCUAAAUUUCAGAAGUAAUUUGUCACUUUAGAGGAGGGCGUCAUUAAUAACCAUUAUUUGAAACUGUCGAGUCUUCGUCUCUGUGUGUGAGUGCCUGAGUUAAGCAUCCCCAAAAUUGGCCUUGUUGGUGGCAAGCAGUGUCCCCACAUUGACAGAUCGCGACGACCCCACCCCCACCCUCUCCCUCUCAACUGAGUUCUUCCCCGUCUGCCUUUAAUCACUGCGAGGGGGUGACAGGGAAUGGCUACAGCGUGUCCUCCUGGAAUUCAUUAGUGUUAUUACCAAAGACCGUGUUGUAAAUUGAGAUUUUUUUUCUUUAACUGCUAGGAAAAAAUUUCUCCUUAGCUAUUUCAUUUUAUUGUACUUAAAAAAAAAAAAAAAGAAAGAUUUUUCUCAUCAAACUUUUGGAGCAGAAUAGUUCAGAAACCCUGACUUCAGAUCCCACUGGGUGUGAACUCUGAGUUGUAAAUGAAGCUGAAAUCACAUCUGGUUACCCUUGAGCUCUGGGGUGAGGGCCAAGGAAGAACCCCCAAACCUUCAGAUGGGUGGUUAAGAGAAAGAAUUGCCAUUCAAUGUAUGUUACUGCACAUUGUUAUUCUUUAACAUUAAAAUUCCACUAAAGUACUAAUAAUUACUGUUAAUACCUUUUGGUGGAAACUUACAGUAAAAGAGCAGUAGUGGAAACAGUAUUUAAGGGCAAGCCGCCGGCAUGAUAAGAAUGCAAAUAAGCGUUAUUAGCCUAAUGAUUUUGCCGUCGCCAUGGUUGUGCGGCAGUAGUGUUGUGAAUAUGUCAUCCGGCACCCGUGAAUUUGGAAAGUGUGUCAAAACACAACUUCAAUUAGUUUGCUCUAAUUAUGGCUCUGGAGAGUUUGUAACUACAUCACUCCUCAUUAAAAGAGAUUUUCUUAUAUGGAUUAAUGUAAUAUACAAAGGAAAGUUUCAAAGUUCCUGACGCCAUUCGCUGCCCCCACGAAUGAGCCAGGGGCAGGCCUGGUGGACCCAGAUCUAGGGUCUGUGUCUGCAGCGGGUGCAGGCAGGGGGCUGGGCGGCUCUCUCCUUCUGCUUGGCGAUCCAUGUCCUGCUCAGAGUGGCCACUGCAAAUGGAGCCUUGACGAUUUCCACGAGAGGGUAAUUGAACCCGUUGCAGGCUUUUAAGGAGAAAUGGCUAAUCUGAAACUAUCAGGAUGUCCCUCCUUCUCUGCUUCUCGAUGGAGGCUGGAAGCAGAAAGGUCUCUGGACCCACCGUGGUGCAGUGCCAUGUGCGCAGUCAGCCCUUGGCCCUGUCCUGAGUUCUUGGGGGAGAUCAUGUGGGAAAAUGUAUUAUUUUUGGUCUUGCAGAAUCACAUGGUAUCUAUGAAAUGUUUGUAAAAGUCUUUUCAGAUAGCGAAGGCAUACAUUAAGGAAACGUAAUCUCCAAGUUGAUAUGUAGUUCUAAAUGGUAUCAUUGCACCUUGACCAUCUUGAAAAGAGGAAUGCGAGUUCACAUUUUCUUGUCCUGUUGUGGACUUUCCCCUCCCUGAGGACACCUGUCCUGCAGCGCUCACCUUCUCAAGGCCCACUCUACGGGGUUUGGACGGCCACCUUGUCACCUUGCCUCAAGUCAGCCUUGUGGGACUGUUCCUUGAGCUUUGCUGCCCCCACCUCCACCAUUCUGCUAAGCCGCCACAGAGGCUUCGUGACUUCCAUUGAGGGGGCCCAGUGAUGCAUUUUGAACUCAGGAGUUAAAUUUUAGAAUGCUGGUUGAGGAGGCCUGGGUUUUGGUUUUCCUCUGAUUUAGCCACACGGUGCAGAUAAUCCAAAAUACAGCUUUGAAGACGUUUUUGUGGGCCUUUGCAUGUUCUCAUUGUCAUCACUUAUGUCAUUAUAUAACGUGUGUGUGUGUAUGUGUGUGUGUGUGUGUGUGUGAGAGUCCCUUGGGUCUUCUUUAUGCCACUCACAGGCAGGGAUACUUUGAGUGAGUUUUAUCACUCUCUGAGCCUGUUUCUUCCUCUGUGAAAUGGGUAUAAAAAUGCCUGCUUUGCAGGAUUUGUCACAGGAAUUAAAUGUGGGGACACAGAAAGCACCACCCUGGUGCCUGGUGAGCACCUGUGCAUGCUGGCUUUCUGUCUGUGUCCAGGGUUCAUUGCAGAACCGAGCCUGAGCAUGAGCAGGGCAUCCCCUUAGACCUUUCCUUUGCCACCACAUGGCUCCCAUCUGCUGCAGCUGCAACUCCAGUCACCAGCACCCCCUCCAGCGCCUCACAGCAUCAGAGACCAGGCACAGGCAUCCUCCCCUGUGGAUCUGGGACUAGAACGGCUGUGCUCACAGGUGAGCAGGUGGGAAGGGGUUAAGAUAGUAAUUGUGUAAGUCUUCCAGGCUUUCUCCCAGUUCUGCGGUAAUUUGAUGAAGAACUUCACCCUAAUUAAAUAUUCAAAUUAGGAAUAAGUGUCAAUAUGGCUUCCCAUUGCCUGGAAUGAUGAUUAAUUGUUUUCAAAACUCCAGUGGCCCACUGUAAUCUAAGCCUAACGGUUGUUCUUGAUUAUUUCUGCACCGCACUUGCCAUGUUUUUGUUUUAAGAUUUAAACUAGUAAUUGAUUUGCCAUAUGCCAUGGAGCUGCACGUACUUUAAAGCUAUGCGUUUAGGAACUUGGGGAGUUUGGAAUUGCGAUUUUCUUCAUCUUCCAGUGGCAGCUGUUUUUUCCCCCUUGUCCAAUGCAGAGUGAUUUGGUUGGGUGUGUGUGUCUGUGUGUGUGCAGGCGCACAUGUGUGUGUGUUGCCCAUGAGGAAAACCCAUUCUACAGUCAGGCUGGUAGGUUGGAGUUAUACUGAUCACUGCGAAUGGGCUUCCUGAAUGGAAAAUGAACAGGUCAGUGUUUGCACUUACUUCCUGCUCUGCAUUAUCUCAGUAAAGCAACAUGGCAUGAUGGAAAGAGCACGAAUACACAACCCAGCCCAGCCAUUUUCUUUAGCUGCAUGACUUUGGGUCUCAAUCGUAAUUCAGAGCCCCACUUGGGAAACGCAGGGAUGUGGAGCAGGAAUCCUGGCUGUGAAGUCAUUGAGGAGGAUUCGAAUGGUAGUUGGGCCCUUCCAGCUGAAAAUGAUUCAUUUUAAUUACCUUCCAGGGCGAUCCAAUACCUGAGCAUAUGGUCUUUAAGAAAUAAGGUUCCCCAAACUGUCAGCAAGUGUGAGCAAUGGUCAGGGACCUCUUUCUGACACCAUUGACCAGCCUUGGAGAGCGGGCACUCUAGAAGGUGCUUAUUAAAAUGCCAGCAGGUGCAGCAAAGGUCCCCUUCCCUGUGACUCCCACACCCUGCUUGUGCCAGGUGUUUUAUAAGAGCCUUUUUCUUCAUUAAAUGGCAUUCAUUAAGCACGUCCUUACACCUGGCACAGAAGCUGUGCGUCACAGAUGACUUCUUCCCAGUGGUGUUUUGCAGGAAUAAAACGGAAUUUCAUUUAGCUAUUUGCUGUGUUCUUCUUCCCCUUCCUUCCUUAACUGGAUUUUUGUUGCUUUUCAUGUUUCCUCUGCUGCCCUCACAGUCCAUUCCUUUCCUUUGUACAUGACCUCUGGUCUUUGUCCACCAGCAGACACAUUAUAUAGAAAACAAGAUGUCCCUUCGGCACCAGGCACCACCCUGGAUGCUCUCAUAUUUGUGUCUCUUCUCUCCCAACCACAUUGAGACGCAUUCUAGUUUUUGGCAUCUUUUUUUCUGAUAAAAAGAAAAAUAAUUUCUCACUGAAAAAAAUUAACACUUAAAAAA